Pseudophryne corroboree (corroboree frog) is the source of this 1024-nucleotide long non-coding RNA. RefSeq lists it as uncharacterized. Lineage: Eukaryota; Metazoa; Chordata; Amphibia; Anura; Myobatrachidae. The record is from RefSeq and is a predicted model, not a curated record. The transcript has 4 exons.
GCGGUUUCGUGUGCUCCACCGCACUGGUGGCGACAUCAUGUAUUCGCCGGAGAUGGCAAGUAAAAUAGUGGUCCUGUGCGCUAUACUCCACAAUAUCGCGGUAAGGAGUAGCGUAGAGCUUCCUCAGACAGAGGAAUUGCCUGAUGAGGAGCCAGGGGUUGUCCGACACUUCGGUGGGGGGAGUGUUACAAGGAGGGGGAGCCAAGUCAGGGCAAGCAUUGUUGCUGAAUUUUUCAGCUGAAAGACCACACAAACUGAGGACGACCACAACGGCAAGCACCACAUGAUGCACCAGCUCAGCACCCUUCCCCUUCUCACUCCCCCUCCACUUCCCAGUCCCCCUCCCCUUCUCACUCCCCCUCCCCUUCUCACUCCCCCUCCCCUUCUCACUCCCCCUCAGCUUCCCAAUCCCCCUCAGCUUCCCAAUCACCCUCAGCUUCCCAAUCACCCUCAGCUUCACAAUCCACCUCAGCUUCCCAGUCACCCUCAGCUUCCCAGGCCCCCUCAGCUUCCCAGGCCCCCUCAGCUUCCCAGGCCCACUCCACUUUCCACUCCCCUUCUCAGCCAACCUCUCCUUCUCUUUCUGUGACCCCUUCUCCUCCUUCCCAUACCCCUUCUCCUUCUACUUCCAACUCACCUUCUCAGCCCCCCUCACCCUCUAUUGGCCUAACAUUUUCACCGCCCCCCUCGCCCUCUCAAUCAGACCCACCCUCUGAAAUUACAUCCCCAAUCCAACCUCCUUCCCCCAUCCAGCCUCCUUCCCCCAUCAAGCCUCCUUCCCCCAUCCAGCCUCCUUCCCCCAUCCAGCCUCCUUCCCCAAUCCCUCCUCCUUCCCCCAUCCAGCCGCCUUCCCCCAUCCAGCCGCCAUCCCCACCCAGUGAAUGGGCAGAGGAAGCCCCUGAAGACAGUUCAGGGAGUCUUCAUGUUGCCGAGGAAAAUGUUGCAGUUGGAGAUCCUACAAGUUUUGGAGGCAUUCUUUACACCAUGCGCCAACACCUGCAAGGAUUAAUGCAUUGUGUUGAUA